RNAcentral lists this ribosomal RNA (465 nucleotides) under uncultured bacterium. RNAcentral describes it as "partial 16S ribosomal RNA". It matches the Rfam family "Bacterial small subunit ribosomal RNA", at positions 28 to 507 of the family's 1533-position model. The record is from RNAcentral.
GACGAACGCUGGCGGCGUGCUUAACACAUGCAAGUCGAACGGAAAGGCCCUGCUUGCAGGGUACUCGAGUGGCGAACGGGUGAGUAACACGUGGGUGAUCUGCCCUGUACUUCGGGAUAAGCCUGGUAAACUGGGUCUAAUACCGGAUAGGAGCCAUUUUUAGUGUGAUGGUUGGAAAGUUUUUUCGGUGUAGGAUGAGCUCGCGGCCUAUCAGCUUGUUGGUGGGGUAAUGGCCUACCAAGGCGGCGGCGGGUAGCCGGCCUGCGGGGGUGGCCGGCCACAUUGGGACUGAGAGACGGCCCAGGCUCCGACGGGAGGCAGCAGGGGGGAAUAUUGCACAAUGGGCGCAAGGCUGAUGCAGCGACGCCGCGUGGGGGAUGACGGCCUUCGGGUUGUAAAAUCCUUUCGCUAGGGACGAAGCUUUUUGUGACGGUACCUAGAUAAGAAGCACCGGCUAACUACGUG